Molecule: transfer RNA, 86 nt
Filed under: Patescibacteria group bacterium
Lineage: Bacteria
Also listed under: 1 other name
Description: tRNA-Leu
Rfam family: tRNA
About the family: Transfer RNA (tRNA) molecules are approximately 80 nucleotides in length. Their secondary structure includes four short double-helical elements and three loops (D, anti-codon, and T loops).
Source: RNAcentral
GCCCGAGUGGUGGAAUGGCAUACACGCAACACUUAAAAUGUUGUGUCCUUAUGGACAUGCGGGUUCGACUCCCGCCUCGGGCACCA